Melanotaenia boesemani (Boeseman's rainbowfish) is the source of this 2859-nucleotide RNA transcript. It is a transcript of the gene named peroxisomal biogenesis factor 3, with no coding region annotated. The record is from RefSeq and is a predicted model, not a curated record. The transcript has 12 exons. Lineage: Eukaryota; Metazoa; Chordata; Actinopteri; Atheriniformes; Melanotaeniidae.
CUGACUUUUCAUUUAGAAAAAUUGAACUUCCUGGGGGACACAUUUCGGGACUCUUGACAGUUAGCAUGUUAGCAAGUUGCUGAUAACAUUCUGGAACUCUUUGGCUAACAUGCCCGUUAAAUGAUUAGCUCAGAGUUCGGUAAGUGUUUGGAGUUUUUUAAACCGUCUCUGUCUGAGGAUGUUUUCGUCUGUCUGGAACUUUAUCAAACGCCACAAACGGAAAUUUAUUUUUACCGGAGCUGUAGUUGGAGGAGUCUAUGUCCUGGGUAAAUAUGCCCAGAAGAAGAUCAAGGAGAUCCAGGAGAAGGAGGCCACGGAGUACAUGGCUCAGGCCAGGAGGCAGUUCCACUUUGAGAGCAACCAGAGGACCUGCAACAUGACGGUGUUGUCGAUGCUUCCUCCGCUCAGAGAGGCCAUCAUCGCCCAGCUGAACUCAGAGAGCCUCACAGACCUCCUCAAGACUAAACCAGCCAAUAAACUGGACAUCUGGGAGGAUCUGAAGAUCAUCAGUUUUACUCGGACCACUGUGGCAGUCUAUAGCACCUGCAUGCUGGUGGUCCUCCUGAGAGUCCAGCUCAACAUCAUCGGAGGAUAUUUGUACCUGGAUAACUCUGCUGGGAAGAGUGCAACGGCUCCUUUGGCUCCUCCAGAUGUCCAACAACAGUACCUGUCUAGCAUCCAGCACCUGCUUGGAGACGGUCUGACUGAGCUGAUGACGGUGGUGAAGAAGGCCGUCCAGAACUCCUUGGGCAGCAUUUCUCUGAAGCAGACCCUGUCUCUGCUGGAUCUGGAGCAGCAGCUGAUCUGGAUCAGAUCGGAGGUGGAGGCCGCCUCCGAUCACCCGCUGUCCUGGUACAUGAUGGCGGACGACGAGAAUGCGCUCGCCAACCAGGCGUGUGGAUUAACGGAGAAUGACGUGAUGACCAUCAGACUGCUGAAUGAGACUCGGGACAUGUUGGACAGUCCAGACUUCCCCACUGUCCUCAACACCUGUCUGAACCGAGGUUUCUCUCGUCUCCUUGACAACCUGGCCGAGUUCUUCCGUCCUCCCCCAGGUGACUCAACGCCCAGCUCCACACCUGACAGUCUGUCUGCAGUGAGGCUUCCGCUGGCCAAGAUAAUCCCCAUCAUCAACGGCCAGAUCAACUGCAUCUGCAGCGAGACCCCCGGACACUUCCUCCAGGACCUGCUGAUGAACGAUCAGGUGAAGGAGUUCGCCGCCAACGUCUACGAAACCUUUAGCACGCCGCAGGAGCUGCAGAAAUAGCCACCUGCACGGACGGAGACGAGGAUGACCGGUGAGACGGCAGCGUCCUCUGAGACGAGGACACUCCGAGGAAGACGUUCCCGACAGCAUGAAGACAAUAACCUGACCGUGACUGUGGUGCAUCAUGGGAACUGGAGUCCUGGAAAACAUUCUGAAGAAGUUUAUUUCCCUCAGGGACAUCUUGAGAUGGAAUGAGAUGGAAAGAGAGGAAGUCACUUCCUGUCCAGCUCGUUUUUACCUUUUCAAAUAUGAAGCUCAGACAUUCAAAAUUAAUCUGUAUUUAAGGACAUUUAUCCUCUUUAUCGGCCGUUUCCCAUCGUUUGCCAGACAAUUCUAGUUGUUUAUUGCCCGUUUUCUGUACAUUAUCUGCGGUUUUCCCACAUUAAUCAGCCAUUCCCAGUCGUUUAUCGGCCUCUUCCCGGUGUGUACCAUCUGUUUUCCUGUCUGAAUCCUGUACUUCCUGCUCUGUCCACACGGCGUCGCUGUUCUCUGCAGUGUUUCUUCUGCAGCCUCUACGUGUUUCUUCCUGAGUUUUGUAUUUUCUUCACUUCAACUCCAGUUUUCUCUGACUGAAGUGAUUCCUCUGACCUUUAACAUCUGGGGCAGUCCCAUGAAUGUCCUGCAGGUCUCAGUCCUCAAUCCACCAUAUUUGCGUAUUUCCAGAUUCCCCCUCCAUGGAAGGAUGAGGGGGUCCAGAGGUCUGGGGUUUUAUCUGACGGCUCGUCUGAAGGCUCCUGGUUUUACGUUAACCUCUGCUGGGAUGUAUGAACACAGCUCUGCGUGGAACAUGGAGGCACGGAUCUGCUGAAAGCUGGUCCCAGUGGUUUCUGGUCAGCUGGAAGCUUCUGGCUUGCUCUGACGGACCCGCCAGGUUUCUGAUGAACGUCCAGAAUUCCACACAGAAAACUGGAAUCAGCUGAACGACCAAUGAAAUUUUCAGACCGUCGGACCACGUUGAAGGCGUUCCAUCACAGACAGGAAGUGAUUUUACCAACAGGAAGUUGAACUGAUCCUGGUUCUCAUGGAUUGCUGCACUGCGCCGGGAAGAACGUCUCCAUGGUGGGAAAAAUCUGUGGAAAUCCUUUAAAUAGAGAAUUAGUUAUUGAUUAAUAAGAUAAAUAAAACGAAGCCUGAGACAGAGGUUCCACUGAGUAAAAGGUGAUUUAAUGGAAAGUUCAUCUGGAGAACAUCUGAGCUGUUUUCCUGGUUGACGAUGACUCAGCAUGACUUCAUCUUCUCUCCUGACCAGCUGAGGUCCAACCAUAUAAGGAAGCAGGGGGUCACAUGACUUCAUUAACAUGAUCCAGCUGUGAGUCAUCCUGAAGUCCAGCUUGUUUAUGGCUUUUCCCGCCUCCUCCUUCAUCUGAGCUGAGCUCCACCAUGACCCGAUCGAAAGUCCACAUGUUGGUUCAAACAGUUAAGGGAUAAACGUGUUCUAAACAUGUUACUCACAUGACGGAUCACAUGAGCCAUCAGCUGAUUCUGCCUGACAGAAGAACACGGUGAUGAGCUCAUUCAUGGAUCCUGCCAAGGUUUUUCUUUUUAAUGUAAAAAGAGAUGAAUAAUAUGAAAGAUGGAACCUGGAAAACAAC